UNUGACUUGAGUGCAGAAGGGGAGAGUGGAAUUCCAUGUGUAGCGGUGAAAUGCGUAGAUAUAUGGAGGAACACCAGUGGCGAAAGCGGCUCUCUGGUCUGUCACUGACGCUGAGGCUCGAAAGCGUGGGUAGCGAACAGGAUUAGAUACCCUGGUAGUCCACGCCGUAAACGAUGAGCGCUAGGUGUUAGGCCCUUUCCGGGGCUUAGUGCCGGAGCUAACGCAAUAAGCACUCCGCCUGGGGAGUACGACCGCAAGGUUGAAACUCAAAGGAAUUGACGGGGGCCCGCACAAGCGGUGGAGCAUGUGGUUUAAUUCGAAGCAACGCGAAGAACCUUACCAGGUCUUGACAUCCCGAUGCUAUUCUUAGAGAUAGGAAGUUACUUCGGUACAUCGGAGACAGGUGGUGCAUGGUUGUCGUCAGCUCGUGUCGUGAGAUGUUGGGUUAAGUCCCGCAACGAGCGCAACCCUUAUUGUUAGUUGCCAUCAUUAAGUUGGGCACUCUAGCGAGACUGCCGGUAAUAAACCGGAGGAAGGUGGGGAUGACGUCAGAUCAUCAUGCCCCUUAUGACCUGGGCUACACACGUGCUACAAUGGUCGGUACAACGAGUUGCGAGCCGGUGACGGCAAGCUAAUCUCUGAAAGCCGAUCUCAGUUCGGAUUGGAGGCUGCAACUCGCCUCCAUGAAGUCGGAAUCGCUAGUAAUCGCGGAUCAGCACGCCGCGGUGAAUACGUUCCCGGGCCUUGUACACACCGCCCGUCACACCACGAGAGUUUGUAACACCCGAAGUCGGUGAGGUAACCUUUUAGGGGCCAGCCGCCUAAGGUGGGANGGAU
This 837-nucleotide ribosomal RNA is filed under the name uncultured bacterium. RNAcentral's name for it is "bacterial SSU rRNA". It matches the Rfam family "Bacterial small subunit ribosomal RNA", at positions 636 to 1472 of the family's 1533-position model. The record is from RNAcentral.